GCAGUUUGAUCUCAGACUGCUGUGCUAGCAAUCAGCGAGACUCCGUGGGCGUAGGACCCUCCGAGCCAGGUGUGGGAUUUAAUCUCGUGGUGCGCCGUUUUUUAAGCCGGUCGGAAAAGUGCAGUAUUCGGGUGGGAGUGAUCCGAUUUUCCAGGUGUGUCCGUCACCCCUUUCUUUGACUUGGAAAGGGAACUCCCUGACCCCUUGUGCUUCCCAAGUGAGGCAAUGCCUUGCCCUGCUUCGGCUCGCGCACGGUGCGGGCACCCACUGACCUGCGCCCACUGUCUGGCACUCCCUAGUGAGGUGAACCCGGUACCUCAGAUGGAAAUGCAGAAAUCACCCGUCUUCUGCGUCGCUCACGCUGGGAGCUGUAGACCGGAGCUGUUCCUAUUCGGCCAUCUUGGCUCCUCCAGAUCAGAUUUAUUUGGAGAAGACAAAAAACCCACAACCCAAAGGACGGGAUUUUACAUCUCAAGACAUCUCCCAGGCCCCACCUCCCAAUACUGCCACAUUGGAGAUAAGUUUCUACAUGAUUUUCAGAAGGGACAAAACAUUCAAAGCAUAGCAGCAGGGAAGAAUGUGAAAACUCCAGGAAAUCACGAAUGUCUCUCUGGCUUCCUCUCCCUCUCAGAGACCCAAUUUGGAACUGAAACCCUGAGUACAGCAAAACUGCAUUUCCCAAGCUCCUCUUCUCUCAAUGGGUCACAUGACUUGUUCUAGCCAAUAGAACGAGGGUGGAACUAAUGUGACCACUUUCAGGUGGCCCCUAAAGUCUCCUGUGAGAUCUUCCAAUCUUGCUCUCCUCACUCUGCAUGGCUGGAAAUGAAUACUCUGAUAUCUGAAACAACAUGAUGAAGGAGCCAGGAUGCCUAAGUUCACCAC
RNAcentral lists this long non-coding RNA (882 nucleotides) under Pan troglodytes (chimpanzee). RNAcentral's name for it is "lincRNA". The record is from RNAcentral. Lineage: Eukaryota; Metazoa; Chordata; Mammalia; Primates; Hominidae.